AGCUCGCGGACAACCACUACCUGUUAAUAAAAGUCCCAGUUAGUGCUCAUUAUGUUUCAUAGGAUUGAGGGGGGAAUAGAUGUAUUUCAUUUACGACCACAAUGAUCUACAGCUUGACAUAAGGUCAUCUCAGAGGAAAAUAAAGGUUUGAGAAAAUACAGGAAAAAAAUUAAGAACACAAGGAAAAUGAGAACGGAUGAAACAAAAAGAAAAGGUACUCCAACAAACUUGCUCAAUGACUCCAUCGAAAGAUAAAAUUUCCGCCAAACUCGACCGGUAAAUAUCAAUCUACAUAUUUUUUGAAGAGAAAAUAAAAAGUAAAUCAUAUAAAAUUUGGAUUAGAUCCAACAAAGGAUCCUUCUUCUAUACAAGGAUAUAUAUUUAUAUACUUAAUUAGCCAUAUUCAGAAUUUCACAGAGACAACUUGUACCUACUACAUGUGCACACUUACUUUAGAAAUUAACAAAAAGGGCAUCAUAUAGCUCGUUUGCGUCGACAUUGAUCCCACCGUGCAACCUCCUUCUUGUAUUGCUCUCCCACCGCUACGGCGCCAAAUUGUCAUGACCCUAUAUUGCAAACGGGCAAGGACUGAUUAGAUUAAGGGGAUCAAGGGGGGCAUAAGAUUAGAGCCAAAAAAAAUAACGGUGGAUGGGCAUACAACUAACCCCUGGUUGUAGAGGCUCGAGGAUGGAUAGAUAGAUGUGUCAAGUCAGGCGCUGCUACCGAUUAUAUGGCUACGAAAAGGGCAGCCAUGCCAGCCAUGCACCUUUGGCCGUCGGCAAAAGAUGUUUCUCACCGGACGACGAGGGGAAACGGCACGGACCGCCAUGAGCACCGCCGGCUACCAUGGAGACGAGCUUCCCCCCUACCUGCAUGUGGAUCCAGAAGCAUAUAGUUAGAACAUUACAGGUGAUAAUAGAACACCUUGAAGCGAGGGACAAUCAUCCAGGAAAACAAAAUACUUCACCUAGCGAUAGUUGCAUGCUCUGCCGCCGGCGCGAGACACGGUCAAUACUAUGUAGGCGUGUGUGCGUCCGUCGAGAGGGAAGGGCGCGUGAAGAGCAGAGGGAGGGAGUCGACGCCGCGGAGGCGAGAAGGGCGGCCAGCCGUGCGGCGCGGUGCCAUGGCCGCCGGCAGCAGACGAACGAGGUUGGGGCAAGGGAUGAGAGGUUGAGCCAGAUCUAUUCUAGGAUCCCAGGGCAGAGAGGGAUGAUAUGUGUUGGGGGGAGGAGGCGGCGGUGCAGCCCAUAUGCGUGUCGACGCAUGUACUACGAGAGGAGAGACGCCCUGACCGGCCAAGGUAUUUUCGUUUCUUUUUUACGUGACAAAAAAGAUACUACAGUAUAUGUGGUACAGUAUGGUUUUAUAUUUAUAUUACUGUACUUUCCAAAAACAAAGGAAAGGAAUACGUCCACGGCACGCUGGCCCGCAGUCCGGCACGCACCACCACAUCUCUUUGUGGAGACCGGCCAACAGGUGCGCAGAAAAAGAAAGGAGGAGACGCGGCCAACGAGGUCACAUCGCAGGCCACACCAUGCAGUCGGGUACUACGUCCAAGCUUAUUUUUUGUAUCUUCUCAAUACAAUUGCUCGUGGUGGGUGGGGACUAGUACCACUACAGCCUGGUGGACAUAAAUUACAGAGCACGAUCUUCUGCGUAGCAAGCACUGCAGCCCUUGCUGCGGCGAGCAUGCAUGCAGCCCGGCAGCCCCUGUACCUCACCGACGAGGGGGAGAGAUUGGACAAACACCGUACCGACGACGGGGGGUGAUUCCACAAAGGAAAGGUAGGGGGCUUGAGGUGAGGCAACCAGAACAAUGAGCGACCAAAACCGUUUUAAACCUCGUUAAUCUUGUGUAAUGGGUAUGAGCUGUGACGACGAACACAUCUCACUCACCAGCGUUUAAAACAACAACGGCGAUGAUCGGGGGGCUACAACGGAGAGAUCACGUCGACUAUAUCUCAGACAUGUGUCGUAUCGUUCAAUCUUGACGAUGAUAAUGACGUCAUGGAGUAUGUACAUGGUCAUGGGCUCGAUCAACAUACGCAAACAUGGUGGUGAUGGCAUAUGUUGGAUUCGUUCAAUGAUAAUGAUGAUGAGGGUUCUCAAAAAGCUAGAGUCUCGGUCUCGGCAAGGCUCGGCAUGGAGGUUGAACAAGGCAAGCCCAAGCCGAGUAGCCAAGCUCGGUGAGCCGUCUCGGUGAAGCUAGGGCCACUCAAGAAACUCACACCAACUAGUUCAGGAAAAAUCAGCAGUCAAAUAUAAAUAUUGUCUUUAAAGUACAAUUUUGAUCACUGAUUUGUGUUGUAUAUCUUGAAAGUGUUUCAAUGGACAAAUUUAAGCAUAUGUUUCGAAGUACCCAGCGAGAGAGCAUAAUACAAGAACAGGAUAAUAAGAAUAUUGUUAGAUAGAUUAACCAAACUUACCGACGAUAACUGCACACCUUGUCGAAAGUCACUUCCCGUCUAGAGCUCACCGACAGGUGACAACCAAACUACCUAUCAAUGAUGAAGAAAAUCAAGUUAGUGCACCGAACCCAGCUGCUACACAUCACCUCCGCCCGCUAAAGAGCAUGUUGGUGCCUUAAUCCAGUGAAGCCAAAGAAGAUGAUCAAUUCCUACCAUGUAAAAUUCCUAUACCUAUUCGUGCGUCCAAAACAAACCAGUGGCCCUUUAAAUCCUAUAUAUAAGCAUUUUCACUUGAUUUUUAGAGAUUCAGACAUCCAAAUCAAAGAACUGGAAUCCUUACAAAAUUUUCCUACGGAUUAUUUUGCAAUACAUUAGGUGAACUCUUUUUUGCCAAUCCUAUAAGAUUCAAGAGUGCGAGUGCGUGACAUUGCACUUUUGGUGUUCAUGUGUUCUAGAAAUUAAUCCUGUGGGUCAAAGGAGCCACAAAGGUUCCAUAAUGGAUCAAGAAAUCAUGAUAUACCUACGAGAUUAUCGUGAACAGGACACAAUGAAACUGGCAGUCGAAAAUAGUAUUAAGACUAUACUUACUUCUCCUGUCUCUAGAAUACUGGUAAAUCUCUUUUUUGGACGAGAAAUUUAAAUGAAGCAAUAUUACUUAGGAUCUAGAUGGAACGAUCCUUCUUCUAUAAAAAUCAAAUAAAGUCAUAUGUUUAUUUACUUCACCAUGGAUAUAUCCUUUGUUCAUCGACAUAUUUGAUGCCACCGUGCUCGCGCUCUCCUUUGGGUAUCUCUCUUCCACUGCUACGGUGGCAUGGCAGAGAGGAGCAGCAUGAACUCUAAAUAGCAAGCGGGCUGCAGAGGAUAAAAU
Molecule: long non-coding RNA, 3276 nt
Filed under: Triticum aestivum (bread wheat)
Lineage: Eukaryota; Viridiplantae; Streptophyta; Magnoliopsida; Poales; Poaceae
Description: long non-coding RNA (TAES_LNC018431)
Source: RNAcentral